This 1489-nucleotide long non-coding RNA is filed under the name Homo sapiens (human). RNAcentral describes it as "HSALNT0286566". The record is from RNAcentral. Lineage: Eukaryota; Metazoa; Chordata; Mammalia; Primates; Hominidae.
GGCACCUAUAAUCCCAGCUACUCAGGAGGCUGAGGCAAGAGAAUAUCUUGAACCCAGGAGGCAGAGGUUACAGUAAGCUGUAAUUUCGUUACUGCACUCCAGCCUGGGCGACAGAACGAAACUCCGUCUGAAAAAAAAAAAAAGCUUGCCUCUAUAUUCCAGUUUUCUAGAAAGAGUGUUUUUUUAUUUUGUGAACAGAAAAAUAACCACAAUAACUGCUAUAUAUAUGUUUUAAAGGCUAUGAAUGAAAGGAGGUGCGGCGUAUGUAGAGAGUGACAGGCUUAUAAGAUUUUCUUUUUGUUAACAUGGUAAGAACCUGAAGCUGAUAGGAAGGAUAAAUGGAGAGAGGGUGGCUCUCCAGGAGCAGAAGGGCAGUGAAGGAGGGAGGGAGGUCUUUGAGGAGGCAGCAGGCAAGAGGAGGUUUAUGCAGCAUUUAUACAAUUAUAUAAAGACAGAAAGAAUGAAAGAAAAGAUGUAAAAACGGAUACCCUGGUAUCGGGGUAGUGGGAUGAUGGUUGCAUUUUACUUUUAUUCUGUAUUUGUAUCUUCUUGUGUAUGUUUACUUCUUUUAUACAUUCCAUUUCCCUCCAUCCAGAUCCAUAACUUUUUAAAAUUUUUAUUAUUUUAUUAUUAUUAAGAUGGAGUCUCACUCUGUCACCCAGGCUGGAGUGCAGUGGUGCAAUCUCGGCUCACUGCAACCUCUGCCUCCCGAGUUCAAGCGAUUCUCCUGCCUCAGCCUCCUGAGUAGCUGGGAAUGCAGGCAUGCGCCACCACACCCGGCUCAUUUUUGUAUUUUUAGUAGAGACGGAGUUUCACCAUUUUGGCAAGGCUGUUCUUGAGUUCCUGACCUCAAUUGAUCGCCCGCCUUGGCCUCCCAAAGUGUUGGGAUUACAGGCUUGAGCCACCGCGCCCAGCCUAUUACUAUUAUUUUUGAGACAGGGUCUUACUCUGUCACCCAGGCUGGAGUAAAAUGGCACAAUCACAGCUCACUGCAGGCCUGAUCUCCUGGGCUCAGGUAAUCCUCCCACCUCAGUCUCCUGAGUAGCUAGGGCUACUGGCAUGUACCACCACACUUGGCUAAUUUUUUUUUUUUUUUUUUUUUUGGUAGACACGGGUUUUCACCAUGUUGCCCAGUCUGGUCUGGAACUCCUGACCUUAAGUGAUCUGCCUGCCUUGACCUCCCAAAGUGCUAGGAUUACAGGCAUGAGCCACCAUGCCCAGCCAAAUCCAUAACUUUUAAAAUCAGGGGGAAAUGUUAUUUAUCAUGAAACCAAAAGUAGAAAAUCUGUUUCCCAGUGCAGGAGGACCAUAAAUUAGAGGUAGCUGGGGCACCUGACUCUGGCACAGAAGCCACCCUGGAAGAAACUUUUUUUUUUUUUGAGACAGUCUCACUCUGUCACCCAGGCUCAAGUGCAGUGGCACGAUUUUUCCUCGCUGCAACCUCUGCCUCCUGGGUUCCCCUUCCUGGACAGGUCAUCUUUGAGUAGUG